AGCAAGGCAGGCUAUAGUCCAUGGCGUCAUAAAAGAGUCAGACACAACUUAGCGACUAAAGAAUAACAGCAAAUCUAGGAAGACAUUGUCUGAACACAUCUGCAGAGACCCUAUUUCCAAAUAGGACCCCAUUCACAGGUAUGGGGUUAGGACGUUGACAUAUCUUUUGGCAGGAGACACAAUUUAAUCUACCAGAGAAGGGGUCCCCUUGCCCCUCUGCAGGUGAUCAUAGAGCAUGGACAUGUCACAAACAUUCAGAGCUGAGGAGAAAACAUCCUCUCCAGUUUGAGUGGAUUCUUUACCAUCUGAGCCACCAGGAAAGCCCUGCAAGCUAUGCAAUGCAGCCAAAAAAAAAAAAAAAAAAAGAAAGAAGGAGAGAGAGAAGCUGGACGCACAGCAUUUCCUCCAUCCUGGAAACAGCACCGCCCCAUCACUGUUAUCGCCUCUGUCCUUUCAGAUUUUCAUAUCUGAGUGCCCAUCUGGUUCCUUCCUUGGGAUUCUAAGACAUCUGGGGGCCUGUGCUGGAAGAGACUUGAUGAUGCUGAGUGCCUGUUAUACCCUUGAGUUGUGCUAAGCCCUUUCCCGUAUGCUCUCUCAUAGAAUCCCUCACAAAACCCUGCCAGGUUGGAAUUAUUAUUAUUCCUCUUACAAAAAUGAGAAAAGAGAAGCUCACAGAGGCUGAGUUACUUGGCCACAGUCACAGAGAUGGGAAGUGGCAGUUCCUGAAUUUGUAUCAGGACACUGACACCACCAAGGGGUGGUUUGGGAGGGUUUCUGUCCAGCUAUCAUCUUCAGUAGCCACUGAUCCCCAAAGCCCUCCCUGGCACAAAUAAACACACGAUCUAAGUAAGACACGCAUGCAGGGGACAAAAUCAAACUUUGAUAUGUCUUGCCUUGCUGGCCAUCUCCCUUUGAAUGAGACUGCUCCCCAAGCCCUAUCUAGAGUCCGUGCUGAAUCAAGAUCUGUCUGGCUCCAAACCCAUCUUCUUCCCAACAUAACCAGGACGCCUGAUCUUUUAGAUUCCUACCAAGAAGGCUUUUGUUUUCUCGAAAACUUUUCCCAGAAGAGCCAAUCAAUCAGUGGAAGAUUCUCCUAAUGGAGCCUGGUUUCCACUUUUCACCAGCUUGCCCAUUAAAUGCUUCCCAGGGUACCUGAUACAUUGCUUCCUGGUGGGUUAGCA
Odocoileus virginianus texanus is the source of this 1181-nucleotide non-coding RNA. Lineage: Eukaryota; Metazoa; Chordata; Mammalia; Artiodactyla; Cervidae. The record is from RefSeq and is a predicted model, not a curated record.